CCUACGGGGGGCAGCAGUGAGGAAUAUUGGUCAAUGGACGAGAGUCUGAACCAGCCAAGUAGCGUGAAGGAUGACUGCCCUAUGGGUUGUAAACUUCUUUUAUAUGGGAAUAAAACGUUCCACGUGUGGGAUUUUGUAUGUACCAUAUGAAUAAGGAUCGGCUAACUCCGUGCCAGCAGCCGCGGUAAUACGGAGGAUCCGAGCGUUAUCCGGAUUUAUUGGGUUUAAAGGGAGCGUAGGUGGAUUGUUAAGUCAGUUGUGAAAGUUUGCGGCUCAACCGUAAAAUUGCAGUUGAAACUGGCAGUCUUGAGUACAGUAGGGGUGGGCGGAAUUCGUGGUGUAGCGGUGAAAUGCUUAGAUAUCACGAAGAACUCCGAUUGCGAAGGCAGUUCACUGGACUGCAACUGACACUGAGGCUCGAAAGUGUGGGUAUCAAACAGGAUUAGAUACCCUGGUAGUC
This 460-nucleotide ribosomal RNA is filed under the name uncultured bacterium. Its description in RNAcentral is "partial 16S ribosomal RNA". It matches the Rfam family "Bacterial small subunit ribosomal RNA", at positions 338 to 795 of the family's 1533-position model. The record is from RNAcentral.